RNAcentral lists this ribosomal RNA (449 nucleotides) under uncultured bacterium. RNAcentral's name for it is "partial 16S ribosomal RNA". It matches the Rfam family "Bacterial small subunit ribosomal RNA", at positions 29 to 523 of the family's 1533-position model. The record is from RNAcentral.
AACGAACGCUGGCGGCAGGCUUAACACAUGCAAGUCGAACGCAUCCUUCGGGGUGAGUGGCAGACGGGUGAGUAACGCGUGGGAACGUGCCCUUCAGUUCGGGAUAACCCAGGGAAACUUGGGCUAAUACCGGAUACGUGCGAGAGCAGAAAGAUUUAUCGCUGAAGGAUCGGCCCGCGUCUGAUUAGCUAGUUGGUGGGGUAAUGGCCCACCAAGGCGACGAUCAGUAGCUGGUCUGGGAGGAUGAUCGGCCACACUGGGACUGAGACACGGCCCAGACUCCUACGGGAGGCAGCAGUGGGGAAUAUUGGACAAUGGGCGAAAGCCUGAUCCAGCAAUGCCGCGUGAGUGAUGAAGGCCUUAGGGUUGUAAAGCUCUUUUACCCGGGAUGAUAAUGACAGUACCGGGAGAAUAAGCUCCGGCUAACUCCGUGCCAGCCGCCGCCGUAA